GCACCAACGCCUCUGGCCUUCUCGAUGCGCCACAAUUCCUAUCCGUCGGGUUGUCUAGACCAACGAUUGCCGUGUGUUCCUUGUCGGCACCCUUGCCCUGGUGAGGAAGCUGGGGUCGCAGGGCUUAUCCAGGGCCGAGAUGUAGAAGAGUGAGAUGCUGCAAGAGGCCAACACCUCCAACUUCAAGUCAAAAUUGCAAAGCUUACAGGUAUUUGUUGGAAGCAAACUCUUAGGCCUAGAAAAACUGGGAUAUGUUGAUUAGUAGUUUUGAAAUCCGAAGUGAGAUCCAUGUCCUUGUCCCUCCAUGUAAUGUGUCAUCUCCAUCCCCUUUUUAAUUUUUCACCUGUAUUAGAUAAUGUCAAGGAGGGAGUAGCUAGUAGCUCUGUCUGGUAGUGAUGUAGUCUCUGGUGAAGCGACAUGUGUGGACGGCAGUCUGCACCAAUAUGCGUACCAGCUAUGUUCAAUGUUCUUUGCUAUGCUGCUUUUAGAUGCAAGUUACUAGUAUAAAAUAUCUUAAUAUGUAGCGUGCGAUAGAUAUGUUGUUAGAAUUGAAUCUUCAUGUUCGUUUUUUUUUUGGUUAGGAACACUCUUGAGAAGAUAAAAGGAUGGUAAUAGUUGUAGAAUAAUGCAUGAUUACUUUGUAAUUCCACUAGCUGAGCUAUGGAUACCAGAACAUUUUAACCAGUUGAUGAUCAUUAACUAGGUUCUAACUUCUAAGUGACCAAAAUUAACUAGACACCUUUUUCAAGAGAUUAAACGAAUAGAGGAGAGGUAAUUUGCUAAUUGAGUGCUAGAUGGCACCCUUUUUCUUAAUCGUUGUUCAGUUUGUUAAGAUGUGCACUGUUCAGUUUCUUAAGCACCCUUUUUCUUAUCUCAUUCUUACAUUGUGACAUUUAGAUAACUAUUGUUGUUGCUGCUGUACCUGAGGGACUACCGAUGGCUGUAACACUUAUUUCUGGUAUAGCUUCAUGUCUCCACUUUGAUUAAUAACAACUUAUAUAUCAAGAGUUUAUGAAAGAUCCUGUUCACAUGGCCUGCUUUAUAUUUGUAUUAGCCAUUUAAUUUUGCAUCCAUGUUACCACUAUAAGAAAACCCUGUAGAAGGAUUCUAGGUUGUAUUCAAGUAAUCGGCUGACUUAAGUAUUUGUUAUGGUGCAUACCUUGACACCAGUUGGAUAUUAUGUUGCUUCAGUAUAGCCUGUUUUGCACCAAAGUAUUAUUGGUCUGCUGGCAUUAGUCUUUUAGUCUGCUGGCUUUUACAAAACGAGCUGAGUUAAGACUAAAAUGACUAUAGACAGUGGUCCAAGUCUGACUCUUGUCGACACAAUAUUUCAGGGAAAUUUAAAGUUGGCGUGUAUCAAGUAUUUCUUGUUUUGGUAUUGAUAAGAAGGUCGUCAUAUUAUUGUUUUGGUAGUUUUAAUAUGUUUUUCCGCACUUUAGAUAGUCUAGCUUCUUUUAAGUGCUGAAUAGAAAGUUAUGCCUUAAAUUUGUUUCUAAAUCAGCCCAAGUGCUGAAUGCAUGUCAUAGGAGAAUAUGCUUUCUGAAUGGGCCCAGAUAAAUGGUUCUUAGUUUAUUCUGCCGCAAGAACAAUUAUUCGCUCAUUACUGUGUCAGUAUAUGGGUCUGAAAUUUUCAGUGCGUGGUGAUGCAACUAUCUCAAUAAUUUCAGUUUCACAACAAUGACUCACCUAUUACUGUGUCAGUAUAUGGGUCUGAACAGUUCAGCUGUAAAAUAUGUAAUAUGUUACUCCAGCUGUAAAAUCUUAGAGACAUAAAUUUAAGUAUCUAUUUGGCUAAAUUUUCAUAUAGUGUUAAAUAACAUUUAACUUGCUGAUAUACUGUAAUACUGUUUCUAUUACACUUAUUCUAACUAACUGAAUUUUAUUUCUAACUAAUGUUCUAUGAUUUUAAUCCGAGACCAUUAUAUCCUGCAACUAUCAUGGCUAAAAUAAACUAAGUAGAGAAUUUUCUGCUUAAAGCUAAAGGCAGGAUAACAAAUGUAGGACAAGCAGAUGCCCAUUGCAUUCGAUGGCCGAAAAAAUAUAUACGUGCCAAUGACUGCAGCUAAAUUUUUUUCUAUCUGGAUACUACCAUGAAUAAUGUACACACUCAUUCCUGGUCAACUUCUAGGUUUCUGACAUUGACUUGCAGAUUACAGAAGCAGAAUUGGACAAUAUAAAUGCAGGAAUUGCGAGAAAUAUGGAGAAAGAAAUAUGGGAAAAGGAACCUGGAGAUGUGCAGUCAUGCAAGAAGAGAAGAAUUAGUAACCCCGCAAGGUACAAUACUGAAGACUGGGAUCAA
RNA transcript from Lolium perenne, 2299 nucleotides. RefSeq lists it as uncharacterized. The record is from RefSeq and is a predicted model, not a curated record. Lineage: Eukaryota; Viridiplantae; Streptophyta; Magnoliopsida; Poales; Poaceae.